RNAcentral lists this transfer RNA (58 nucleotides) under Dipodomys ordii (Ord's kangaroo rat). It matches the Rfam family "tRNA", at positions 8 to 63 of the family's 71-position model. Rfam says of the family: Transfer RNA (tRNA) molecules are approximately 80 nucleotides in length. Their secondary structure includes four short double-helical elements and three loops (D, anti-codon, and T loops). Further hydrogen bonds mediate the characteristic L-shaped molecular structure. tRNAs have two regions of fundamental functional importance: the anti-codon, which is responsible for specific mRNA codon recognition, and the 3' end, to which the tRNAs corresponding amino acid is attached (by aminoacyl-tRNA synthetases). tRNAs cope with the degeneracy of the genetic code in two manners: having more than one tRNA (with a specific anti-codon) for a particular amino acid; and 'wobble' base-pairing, i.e. permitting non-standard base-pairing at the 3rd anti-codon position. Lineage: Eukaryota; Metazoa; Chordata; Mammalia; Rodentia; Heteromyidae. The record is from Rfam by way of RNAcentral.
UGGCUCAGUGGUAGAGUGCUUGCCUUACAUGCAUGAGACCCUGGGUUCGAUUCCUCAG